CACGUAGGCGGAUUGAUAAGUUAGGGGUGAAAUCCCGGGGCUCAACCUCGGAACUGCCUUUGAUACUGUCAGUCUUGAGUCCGAGAGAGGUGAGUGGAACUCCGAGUGUAGAGGUGAAAUUCGUAGAUAUUCGGAAGAACACCAGUGGCGAAGGCGGCUCACUGGCUCGGUACUGACGCUGAGGUGCGAAAGCGUGGGGAGCAAACA
Molecule: ribosomal RNA, 207 nt
Filed under: uncultured Hyphomicrobiaceae bacterium
Lineage: Bacteria; Pseudomonadati; Pseudomonadota; Alphaproteobacteria; Hyphomicrobiales; Hyphomicrobiaceae
Description: partial 16S ribosomal RNA
Rfam family: Bacterial small subunit ribosomal RNA
Source: RNAcentral